This 1755-nucleotide unclassified non-coding RNA is filed under the name Actinia tenebrosa (Australian red waratah sea anemone). RNAcentral describes it as "lysophosphatidylserine lipase ABHD12-like, transcript variant X2". The record is from RNAcentral. Lineage: Eukaryota; Metazoa; Cnidaria; Anthozoa; Actiniaria; Actiniidae.
UCAAAAAUGGCGGCCAAAGAUAAGAGUAAAAAAGGAGAGAAAUCCAUGGCACAGCAAAAAUCUAUAAAUUUAGGGACUUUCCUUAAAAGCUUGAUAAAACUGUCAAUAGUUAUCCCUUUGUCUGUUUAUCUUCUGUUAGUGGUUGUCAUGUACAAUUCAUCAUGGGCAAGAAAACAAGUUAUUUAUUUAAACUAUGUUAAAGAUCCCUUUACUGAUUAUUCCAAACCAUAUAAACAUGGAAUUGAAAAUUCAACAAAUUUUUACAUUAAUGGACCUGCUGGGAAGCUAGGAGCUUGGUAUGUAAAAGCAAAAAAUGAUGAAAUACCAUUUGACCAGCCAUUUCACCUUACAGAUGGAAACCCAGUAUUCAUUUAUUUUCAUGGAAAUGCAUUCUCUAGAGCAAAUGAGCAUCGAUUAGCAUUGUAUAAGGUUUUAUCAUCGCUGUCGUAUCAUGUUGUAACGAUAGAUUAUAGAGGUUUUGCUGAUUCAGAUGGUCAUCCAUCAGAACAAGGUCUUAUUGAGGAUGGUCUUGCUACUUGGGAUUGGGUUAAAUCGAGGUCCGCAGACGCACCUGUUUUCAUUUGGGGGCAUUCAUUAGGAUCCGCUGUGGCGGCUGGCGUAGCAAAAGUGCUAUGUGAUAAAGGUUCCCCGCCAUCUGGAAUCAUUCUUGAGGCGCCCUUCAAUAACGUUUAUGAUGCGGGAAAAGAACACGCCAUCGCAAAGCCAUUCAGAUUUUUACCCUUUUUUGAGGAGAUUGUGAUGGAUGAGGUAAAGCAACUUUUCAGAACGGACAAAAGUUGUAUGUACAAGCACGACAAAGUCGUCCUUCGAAUGCAAAACCCGUGCAUCUGAUCGAGUUUAAUGGCAAACAUGGGCAUAACUGGAUCUGUGAUUCUAAACUGUUGCCUCGCAUUUUAAGGGACUUCCUGGAGCAAAAUUCUUUGCAAAGUGAGCAAACCGUCUUCGCAGACAAAAAAGAUUAACCAAUGUCAUAAUUAACAAUUCUUUAACUCGUUGCUCGACUUAUUAUUUUGUUUUUUCACUUUUCGGAUUUUGCUUUUCACUCUUCGGGCUUUGUUUUUCCAUUUUCCACUUUGGCCCAGUUUUACACUUUUUAAAAUCGAAAAACAAAAACCGAAAAGUUGAAAGCGAAAUCCAAAAAAAUGAAAAUCACUUUUCGGAUUUUGUUUUUACACUUUAUGUUUUUGUUUUUAAACUUUUGAAAACCGAAAAAAUCCGAAAAGUCAAAAACAAAAUCCAUUGGCGACCCUACUGGGCUCGUAUCCCUGGUCAACUUCGUAGUCGUCAGUGUCGUUCGCAGAUCCACCCAAUCCCUCCCCACCGACGGAUCCGAGAGGAUCUGGGACCGAUACUAAUGACGGCUGGACAAAUUAUAUUAGACUUUUACUAGCCUGCAGAGCAGAGUUCUUGUAAUGUGUUUGAGAAAGAAUCGGGGUUUUGGGAUUCCUGUUUCAACUACGUGCCUGCGAGAAAAAUGGGACCUAGCAAAAAAAGGGAACGCUUUUUUUGCUCAAAUUUAAAUUUUCACUCGUUCCAAAUUUCCAAAGUUCCCAAAACCACAAGAACGCUAUGGCAAGCCGUUACUGCCAAAAGGGAUCGAGAUUUUUUUAAGGGGGGUUGAAAUUUUUUUCUUUGUCCAGAUUAACUUUUUAGCGAUCGAAAUAUAUAUAUACACUGUUCAAUUUUUUUAUUCCAGCCUCAGUUGCUGCUAGCGAGUUUUUCUGCUUAUUCUCG